Molecule: ribosomal RNA, 283 nt
Filed under: Boophis elenae
Lineage: Eukaryota; Metazoa; Chordata; Amphibia; Anura; Mantellidae
Description: partial 16S ribosomal RNA
Rfam family: Bacterial large subunit ribosomal RNA
Source: RNAcentral
GUUAUGCCUGUUUGGUUUUAGGUUGGGGUGACCACGGAGUAUAAAACAACCUCCAUGAAAAAAGGACCAAAAAUCCUUAUUAGAGAAAGACAUUUCUAAAAUUAAUAAAUUAAUUUUUAAUGAUCCGAUAUUCGAUCAACGAACCAAGUUACCCUGGGGAUAACAGCGCAAUCCACUUCAAGAGCUCCUAUCGACAAGUGGGUUUACGACCUCGAUGUUGGAUCAGGGUAUCCUAGUGGUGCAGCAGCUACUAACGGUUCGUUUGUUCAACGAUUAAAACCCU